Molecule: ribosomal RNA, 255 nt
Filed under: uncultured bacterium
Lineage: Bacteria
Description: partial 16S ribosomal RNA
Rfam family: Bacterial small subunit ribosomal RNA
Source: RNAcentral
UACGUAGGGUGCAAGCGUUAAUCGGAAUUACUGGGCGUAAAGCGUGCGCAGGCGGUUUUGUAAGUCUGACGUGAAAUCCCCGAGCUUAACUUGGGAAUUGCGUUGGAGACUGCAAGGCUGGAGUCUGGCAGAGGGGGGUAGAAUUCCACGUGUAGCAGUGAAAUGCGUAGAGAUGGUGGAGGAACACCGAUGGCGAAGGCAGCCCCCCUGGGUCAAGACUGACGCUCAUGCACGAAAGCGUGGGGAGCAAACAGG